Molecule: ribosomal RNA, 429 nt
Filed under: Chloroflexota bacterium
Lineage: Bacteria; Bacillati; Chloroflexota
Description: Chloroflexi bacterium partial 16S ribosomal RNA
Rfam family: Bacterial small subunit ribosomal RNA
Source: RNAcentral
GGGGGAAUAUUGCACAAUGGGCGCAAGCCUGAUGCAGCCAUGCCGCGUGUAUGAAGAAGGCCUUCGGGUUGUAAAGUACUUUCAGUCGGGAGGAAGGUGGUAAGGUUAAUAACCUUAUCAAUUGACGUUACCGACAGAAGAAGCACCGGCUAACUCCGUGCCAGCAGCCGCGGUAAUACGGAGGGUGCAAGCGUUAAUCGGAAUUACUGGGCGUAAAGCGCACGCAGGCGGUUGAUUGAGUCAGAUGUGAAAUCCCCGGGCUUAACCCGGGAAUUGCAUCUGAUACUGGUCAGCUAGAGUCUUGUAGAGGGGGGUAGAAUUCCAUGUGUAGCGGUGAAAUGCGUAGAGAUGUGGAGGAAUACCGGUGGCGAAGGCGGCCCCCUGGACAAAGACUGACGCUCAGGUGCGAAAGCGUGGGGAGCAAACAGG